This 734-nucleotide ribosomal RNA is filed under the name uncultured bacterium. RNAcentral's name for it is "bacterial SSU rRNA". It matches the Rfam family "Bacterial small subunit ribosomal RNA", at positions 771 to 1501 of the family's 1533-position model. The record is from RNAcentral.
AACAGGAUUAGAUACCCUGGUAGUCCAUGCCGUAAACGUUGGGCACUAGGUGUGGGGGACAUUCCACGUUUUCCGCGCCGUAGCUAACGCAUUAAGUGCCCCGCCUGGGGAGUACGGCCGCAAGGCUAAAACUCAAAGGAAUUGACGGGGGCCCGCACAAGCGGCGGAGCAUGCGGAUUAAUUCGAUGCAACGCGAAGAACCUUACCAAGGCUUGACAUGGACCGGACCGCUGCAGAGAUGUAGCUUCCCUUCGGGGCUGGUUCACAGGUGGUGCAUGGUUGUCGUCAGCUCGUGUCGUGAGAUGUUGGGUUAAGUCCCGCAACGAGCGCAACCCUUGUCCUAUGUUGCCAGCACGUAAAGGUGGGGACUCAUGGGAGACUGCCGGGAUCAACUCGGAGGAAGGUGGGGAUGACGUCAAAUCAUCAUGCCCCUUAUGUCUUGGGCUUCACGCAUGCUACAAUGGCCGGUACAGUGGGUUGCGAUACUGUGAGGUGGAGCUAAUCCCUAAAAGCCGGUCUCAGUUCGGAUCGAAGUCUGCAACUCGACUUCGUGAAGUUGGAGUCGCUAGUAAUCGCAGAUCAGCAACGCUGCGGUGAAUACGUUCCCGGGCCUUGUACACACCGCCCGUCAAGUCACGAAAGUUGGUAACACCCGAAGCCCAUGGCCCAACCCUUGUGGAGGGAAUGGUCGAAGGUGGGACUAGCGAUUGGGACUAAGUCGUAACAAGGUAACC